RNAcentral lists this ribosomal RNA (328 nucleotides) under Escherichia coli. RNAcentral describes it as "partial 23S ribosomal RNA". It matches the Rfam family "Bacterial large subunit ribosomal RNA", at positions 187 to 553 of the family's 2925-position model. Lineage: Bacteria; Pseudomonadati; Pseudomonadota; Gammaproteobacteria; Enterobacterales; Enterobacteriaceae. The record is from RNAcentral.
GGGGAACUGAAACAUCUAAGUACCCCGAGGAAAAGAAAUCAACCGAGAUUCCCCCAGUAGCGGCGAGCGAACGGGGAGCAGCCCAGAGCCUGAAUCAGUGUGUGUGUUAGUGGAAGCGUCUGGAAAGGCGCGCGAUACAGGGUGACAGCCCCGUACACAAAAAUGCACAUGCUGUGAGCUCGAUGAGUAGGGCGGGACACGUGGUAUCCUGUCUGAAUAUGGGGGGACCAUCCUCCAAGGCUAAAUACUCCUGACUGACCGAUAGUGAACCAGUACCGUGAGGGAAAGGCGAAAAGAACCCCGGCGAGGGGAGUGAAAAAGAACCUGA